ACAGGCUUUAAAAUUACAUUUCCAAGAAUAAUCUUGGAACAAGACAAGUUUUUGUUCAAUUAAUUGUGGCUGGAAACUUUUUAAUGGAAACAUAGCACACACUUGCUUCAUUUCAGGUUAUUAAACUGUGUUAAGCACUGUAGUUAUUUGCCAUUCUUUGCCGCAGCUCAUUUGCUUUUUUCAAUCCAAAGAAAUAUUAGAAGGUUAAAACUUAUCACAUAGGAGGGAUUAAUCAUGCUCCCAAAUUAGAAAGCUUGUAACUCUAAGAGACUCGGUGUCAAAACUGGAUGGUCAUGGCACUUAAACGAUUGGGAACCCACAAUGCUACUGUACCAUUUAAAAUGGACACUCACGUCUGUGGAGACCCUUGAUGUGUGACCCUGAUUUAGCUGGUAUUCCUUAAUGACUGGUUAAGGGAAGGAAUGUUCAAGAUUCAGUCCCAGGCAAAGAAGAGAAAGCACACCAGCACUGAGAGGCUGUGCAGUGCAUAUUUGUGGAGAACAUACUGCUGAUCAUUCUGGGCAAGGAAAAAGGAAGAGAAUGGGAUGGAAUUAGAAGUAGAUGCAGAAAACAAGUAAAUAAAAAGAUCUUCAAAGGAAGAUCUGUGUGCUAAAAGUUUGAAGCAAAGUAUUUGAACAUCCAUGCUUUACCCUUCAUAAAAGCACCGGUAAACGGAAAGAAAUGACAGUGAGACUGAAUUAUGAACUUUAAAGAGUUGAGAACAAGUCAUUGCCUGUACUGUGAGAGCUGCUUGCUUUGCUCUGGAUUAACUGUCUGCAAUAGGUCAUCGCCUGUCUAUCAUAGUCAAGGAUUUUACCAAGAACACACAACAAAAUGAGCAAAAAUUGACUUCGGAAUGCUUACAGGGAUACUACAUAGCCCAAAUGAAGACCAAUCUUCUCUCCAUUUACUUUGAUGUUGGCUGAUGCUGGCGAGGAUGAGGAGAAAGAGGAACACUCCUCCAUUGUUGGUGGGAGUGCAGGCUUGUACAACCACUCUGGAAAUCAGUCUGGCGGUUCCUCAGAAAACUGGACAUAGUACUACCGGAGGAUCCAGCAAUACCUCUCCUGGGCAUAUAUCCAGAAGAUGCCCCAACAGUUUUCCGGACCUACACUCUGUUCACACGAGGCAGAAGCUGUGGGUCUUCUGUCACAUGUAGAAUUUGAGAUCCUUUUGAAAGCAUAAGUAGAAGAUUCAAAUUAUUUUACAACUGUCCUUCCUCCUCUGAGUGGGUAGGGGCCUCCGUAUAUCCCUCCACCCUGGCACUUCAAGUCUCUGUGAGGCUAGAUGCUUCCUCUUCCACUGAGGCCGGUCUGUCAGCCCAGCUAGAAGAACAUAUCCCACAUGCAGUUAACAGUUUUUGAGACAACCCCCACUCCAGUUGUUCCAGACCCACAUGAAGACCAAGCUGCACUUUGUUACGUAUGUAUGGGGAAGCCAAGGUUGAGCCCAUGUAUGUUCUUUGGUUGGUAGUUUAGUUUCUGAGAGCCCCAAAGAUCCAGGUUAGUUGAUUCUGUUGGUCUUUCUGUGGAGUUCCUAACCCUUUAGGGACCCACAAUCCUUCCUCCUGUUCUUCUGUAAGAGUCCCUAAGCUCCAGCCACUCUUUGGCUGUGUGUUUCUGCAUCUGUCUGAGUCAGUUGGUGGGUGGAACAUCUCAGAGGACAACUAUAAUAGGCUCCUUUUGACAAGUAUAAUAGAGUAUCAUUAAUAGUGUCAGUGAUUGGUGUUUGCCAAUAGGAUGGGUCUCAGUUUGGACUGGUUAUUGGUUGGUCAUUCCCUUAGUCUCUGCUCCAUCCCCAAUCCCUGCAUUUCUUAUAGACAGGGUAAGUUUGGGUCAAAAGUUCUGUGGGUGAGUUGGUGUUUCUAUUGCUCUACUGGGGUUCCUGCCUGACCUUGACUUCUUAUUAAUUGAGAAUUUAAUACAAUAUAUUUUGGUCAUGUUACACUUCUUCCAACAACCUCUCCCAGAUUCUCCCUUUUUUCUUUCCAACACAUUUUUUUUUUUUGUUUUCGUUUUUUGUUUAACCCAUGACAUCCAAAUUGUGCUACAUCUACUUGUAGAUGUGUUAGCACUCACUGGGGAAAGGUGACCCAUCAGAGAUCAUGCAUGUACAAAGACCUGCUGUUCUCUUUCCAAGAGAAUCAAAUACAAAAUAAAUCUCAGCUAGAGGUGGCACUUCAUACCCAUUUCUCUUAUCCAUGCUGGGAUUUAAUUUGGCUAGAGCCUGCACAAGUCUUAUGCACACUGUCAAGAUGUCAGUUCCUAUGUGCAACAAUCCAGUUGUGCCUGAAAAACAGUUUUCUAGUAGUCAUUUACUACCUCUGGCUCUUACAUUUCUGUCUCCUCUUCUAUAAUGAUCUUCAGAGAAGAGUGGACAUAAUAUAGAUGUUCUAUUUGGGGCUGACCAUUCCUCAGUCUUCUAUUCUCUGAAAUGUGGCCAAUUGUGGGUCUCUGUUAAUUUAUAUCUACUGCCAAAAGAGAUUUCUCUGAUAAGGGCCUAGAUCUGUAGUAAUCUAUGGAUAUAGGGAUGAGUCAGCAGGAUCAAGAGUCAGUUUAAUAUUAUGUCUACCCAAUGAAGUAAUAGUAGAUUCUCUCUUAAAACAUAAAACCUGUCUAGCAUAGGUUCUGGGUCAUGAUAAUUGUCGCAGGUAUGGGUUUGUUUUGUGGAGCAGACCUUAAAUAUAAUCAGAAAGAAGUUGAUUACACUCAUGACAUUCAAGCCACAAGUAGGCACAUCUCAGCAGACUCAUCAUUGUUGUAGCUCUCAGGGGUCACAGUUCAGUGUGGUUUAUGAUUGGUCUUCUCUGGUUGUAUACACAGCACAUUUCAGCAAUUCAACACCUAGUCAGCAGAGACGAAGCUUCCAGGUGAGUACCAGUUUGAUUUAUCCAGGUUCUUUGAGUCAGGAUAUGGUGUCUUCAGCAACAUGAUCAUACACUGAAGUUCUGGAAGAUAACUAUCACAAUAGUCCGUAAUGUUUGGGAGCUAGGGGACCUCACUGGCCAGCAGGUCCAAAAGAGGUAACAAAUCACUGGCAUUGGGCUUUUUGAU
Long non-coding RNA from Mus musculus (house mouse), 3053 nucleotides. RefSeq annotates it as predicted gene, 33274. NCBI's taxonomy places the organism in Eukaryota, Metazoa, Chordata, Mammalia, Rodentia, Muridae. The transcript is spliced from 9 exons. The record is from RefSeq and is a predicted model, not a curated record.